This 61-nucleotide small nuclear RNA is filed under the name Varanus komodoensis (Komodo dragon). RNAcentral describes it as "U7 small nuclear RNA (ENSVKKG00000009355.1)". It matches the Rfam family "U7 small nuclear RNA". Rfam says of the family: Animal histone pre-mRNAs are spliced by a different mechanism than nuclear pre-mRNAs and self-splicing introns. This processing involves the U7 snRNP, which contains only one RNA species: U7. The 5' end of U7 RNA is thought to base-pair to a conserved spacer element downstream of the cleavage site in histone pre-mRNA. The record is from Rfam by way of RNAcentral. Lineage: Eukaryota; Metazoa; Chordata; Lepidosauria; Squamata; Varanidae.
GAGUGAUUUCAGAUCUUUUUGUAUUUGUCUAGCAGGCUUUCUGCUUUAGUGGAAAGCCUUU